GCCUAAUACAUGCAAGUCGAGCGGAAAUUUUAUUGGUGCUUGCACCUUUAAAAUUUUAGCGGCGGACGGGUGAGUAACACGUGGGUAACCUACCUUAUAGAUUGGGAUAACUCCGGGAAACCGGGGCUAAUACCGAAUAAUACUUUUUAACACAUGUUUGAAAGUUGAAAGACGGUUUCGGCUGUCACUAUAAGAUGGACCCGCGGCGCAUUAGCUAGUUGGUGAGGUAACGGCUCACCAAGGCAACGAUGCGUAGCCGACCUGAGAGGGUGAUCGGCCACACUGGGACUGAGACACGGCCCAGACUCCUACGGGAGGCAGCAGUAGGGAAUCUUCCACAAUGGACGAAAGUCUGAUGGAGCAACGCCGCGUGAGUGAAGAAGGAUUUCGGUUCGUAAAACUCUGUUGCAAGGGAAGAACAAGUAGCGUAGUAACUGGCGCUACCUUGACGGUACCUUGUUAGAAAGCCACGGCUAACUACGUGCCAGCAGCCGCGGUAAUACGUAGGUGGCAAGCGUUGUCCGGAAUUAUUGGGCGUAAAGCGCGCGCAGGUGGUUCCUUAAGUCUGAUGUGAAAGCCCCCGGCUCAACCGGGGAGGGUCAUUGGAAACUGGGGAACUUGAGUGCAGAAGAGGAUAGUGGAAUUCCAAGUGUAGCGGUGAAAUGCGUAGAGAUUUGGAGGAACACCAGUGGCGAAGGCGACUGUCUGGUCUGUAACUGACACUGAGGCGCGAAAGCGUGGGGAGCAAACAGGAUUAGAUA
RNAcentral lists this ribosomal RNA (761 nucleotides) under Planococcaceae bacterium b97A(2010). Its description in RNAcentral is "bacterial SSU rRNA". It matches the Rfam family "Bacterial small subunit ribosomal RNA", at positions 46 to 784 of the family's 1533-position model. The record is from RNAcentral. Lineage: Bacteria; Bacillati; Bacillota; Bacilli; Caryophanales; Caryophanaceae.